This 372-nucleotide ribosomal RNA is filed under the name Triticum aestivum (bread wheat). Its description in RNAcentral is "partial small subunit ribosomal RNA". Lineage: Eukaryota; Viridiplantae; Streptophyta; Magnoliopsida; Poales; Poaceae. The record is from RNAcentral.
AUGGAAUUGUUUAUUGUACCUGCCGACCCUCCUCGAACUCGGCAGAAACGUGCAAGAGCAACUGGAAAACAGGCAGCAUCUGAUGUUCAUGGAGAUGGAGGAAGUGUACCAACAACACAACAUGCAGAACCUACUGCCAAAGGGGCACAGCCGCAGCCGCAACCUACUACUUCCAAACUGAAGUCAAAGGUAUGGCUUGACUUCACCAAGAUCUCGAAAGAUGGUGAUGAGAUGACUAUAGCUCAAUGCAACCAUUGCGACUCUAAACUGUCGGCUAAAUCGACAAAUGGCACAUCUCAUCUCCUUAGACACAUUGAAAGUAAGCAUAAGGUUGAACAAGCGACAAUGAAUAAUUUUUUUCUUGAAAUCUGA